UCCAGACUCCUACGGGAGGCAGCAGUGGGGGAUAUUGCACAAUGGGGGGAACCCUGAUGCAGCGACGCCGCGUGGGUGAAGGAGCGUUUCGGCGCGUAAAGCCCUAACGGCAGGGAAGAAGGAGGACGGUACCUGACUAAGAAGCCCCGGCUAACUACGUGCCAGCAGCCGCGGUAAUACGUAGGGGGCAAGCGUUAUCCGGAUUUACUGGGUGUAAAGGGGGCGCAGACGGCAGCGCAAGCCAGGAGUGAAAGCCCGGGGCCCAACCCCGGGACUGCUCUUGGAACUGCGCGGCUGGAGUGCAGGAGGGGCAGGCGGAAUUCCUGGUGUAGCGGUGAAAUGCGUAGAUAUCAGGAGGAACACCGGUGGCGAAGGCGGCCUGCUGGACUGCGACUGACGUUGAGGCCCGAAAGCGUGGGGAGCAAACAGGAUUAGAUACCCCCGUAUUG
RNAcentral lists this ribosomal RNA (449 nucleotides) under uncultured bacterium. Its description in RNAcentral is "bacterial SSU rRNA". It matches the Rfam family "Bacterial small subunit ribosomal RNA", at positions 330 to 793 of the family's 1533-position model. The record is from RNAcentral.